AGGGGCAUCGGGAGGAAAGCUUGCUUUCCUUGCCGGCGACCGGCGCACGGGUGAGUAACACGUAUGCAACCUGCCCUCUUCAGGGGGACAACCUUCCGAAAGGGAGGCUAAUCCCGCGUAUAUCGGUUUCGGGCAUCCGUUAUCGAGGAAAGAUUCAUCGGAAGAGGAUGGGCAUGCGGCGCAUUAGCUAGACGGCGGGGUAACGGCCCACCGUGGCGACGAUGCGUAGGGGUUCUGAGAGGAAGGUCCCCCACACUGGUACUGAGACACGGACCAGACUCCUACGGGAGGCAGCAGUGAGGAAUAUUGGUCAAUGGGAGAGAUCCUGAACCAGCCAAGCCGCGUGAGGGAAGACGGCCCCAUGGGUUGUAAACCUCUUUUGUCGGAGAACAAAACCCGGGACGUGUCCCGGACUGCGUGUAUCCGAAGAAAAAGCAUCGGCUAACUCCGUGCCAGCAGCCGCGGUAAUACGGAGGAUGCGAGCGUUAUCCGGAUUUAUUGGGUUUAAAGGGUGCGCAGGCGGAAGAUCAAGUCAGCGGUAAAAUUGAGAGGCUCAACCUCUUCGAGCCGUUGAAACUGGUUUUCUUGAGUGAGCGAGAAGUAUGCGGAAUGCGUGGUGUAGCGGUGAAAUGCAUAGAUAUCACGCAGAACUCCGAUUGCGAAGGCAGCAUACCGGCGCUCAACUGACGCUCAUGCACGAAAGUGUGGGUAUCGAACAGGAUUAGAUACCCUGGUAGUCCACACAGUAAACGAUGAAUACUAAUUGUUCGGGGAGAAUGAUCCCUGAGUGAUACAGCGAAAGCGUUAAGUAUUCCACCUGGGGAGUACG
RNAcentral lists this ribosomal RNA (829 nucleotides) under uncultured bacterium. Its description in RNAcentral is "bacterial SSU rRNA". It matches the Rfam family "Bacterial small subunit ribosomal RNA", at positions 65 to 884 of the family's 1533-position model. The record is from RNAcentral.